This 31-nucleotide non-coding RNA is filed under the name Rattus norvegicus (Norway rat). Lineage: Eukaryota; Metazoa; Chordata; Mammalia; Rodentia; Muridae. The record is from RNAcentral.
UCCUCUUGGCUGCUUGAUCAGUUAGUUGGUU